RNAcentral lists this long non-coding RNA (5078 nucleotides) under Physcomitrium patens. RNAcentral's name for it is "long non-coding RNA (PPAT_LNC002029)". Lineage: Eukaryota; Viridiplantae; Streptophyta; Bryopsida; Funariales; Funariaceae. The record is from RNAcentral.
AAAAAAAAAAAAAAAAAAAAAAAAAAAAAAUCUUAGCAUAAGAAAUGACCACAAUAACAAACCUUCACUAUAGGAAACGAAUAAAUGUUAAAAAAACCGUCAAACUUACCUCCCGUGCAAUUGAACUAACAGGACGUGAACGCUCCCUGCCUCGUGUGAAAGGUACGAUGCAGAAUGAGCACAUAUUGUUGCAGCCGCGCAUGACUGAUACGAAAGCAGUCACAGAAUUCUUUGCAAUUCGCACCGGUGAGACGUCUGCGUACGUUUCUUCGAGAGACAACAGAGUGUUGAUACCAGUUUGACCUUCAUCGACAAGAGAGAGAAGGCGAGGAAGAUCCCUGUGAGCAACCAUCGCGUCAGCGGUCUUAGCAAGACAGCCACAGGAUGACGUUCCGCCAACAUUCCCAACGAAAGGAAAGGAAUAGUCAAAUCUUAGCUAAAACUCACAAUCAACAAACUACACUCACCUGUAAGCGUCAGGCCCACAAACUACGUCCACCAUUUUGUCAGCAACGAUCAGUUUCUCCUUCAAACGUUCAGCCAUGCAGCCCAGCACUGCAACCUUGGGAGGCUUGGCUGGACGGGUAGCACUUGUAGCAGGAUCACGAUUCCACCUGAAUAACAGAAUUUCAUAAAAGUAGAAUUAGGUGUUGAUACAAUCAUAAGGAUGUUACAAAGUUCACCGUCGCAACUAAAAAGAAGCAAAGUAAAGCUCUAGAAACCAAUUAAUUCACACACCGGGAUUUCAAGUGCUUGAAGUAAUUGAGCCGGUGCCAGAUUUUAUGUUCGGCGUUCUCUCUGAUUGCACACGUAUUGAUAAAGAUAAUGUCCGACUCUUCAGGUGUUUGAACAAUCUCUGUAUAUCCUGAGUCUUUCAUAAUAGCGAGCACUAUUUCCAUAUCAUUCACGUUCAUCUGGCACCCAUAAGUCUCCACGUACAACUUCCCACCGUCCACCCUUCGGGAUGAGUCCUCCAGGUAAGGCACAACUGUCGCCCUGGAUCCCACAUUCCCAACUCUUUCAGAAUACAGCAUCCAAAACAUGGAUACGAAUAGCACAUUUCUGUCCUCCAGAACAUACAUUCCUACAGAAUCACGGUCCCCAGUUCGAAUGUGAUACCGUUCUCGGGAAAAAUUAUACAAUCUACCAGAAACGCAACACUGUAAUUAAUCCACGGACGGUCGAGUUUCAAAAUUCCAGCAGAAUCAAUGUCCAAAUAGAGGUGUGAAUCUCUGAGAAAAUUUGGAGGGAAAAAGCUACAUACGAUGGGUCAACAUUGAACGGUGAGGACGACUGUAAGUCUUGCUUGAAGAGAUCUUGUAAACUUGUUCCUGCAGCUCUUGGAACCGCCAGCUUCUUUUUACCUUUCUGGGCCGGCAAAUGAGACGUUGAGAAUUGGGACGAUUGAAACGAAGAAGACGGCAAAGAACGAGACGUCGUGAGUCUGUUUCCAUGCCUCGGCAACAACAACCCCUGGUAAUCUUGGCUCACUCUCCGCAGCGUAGAAAACACUCUCUUGGAUGCGACCACGUUAUAUCCCACAUCAUUCCAAUUCAAAAAAUAACAGAUCUUGUAUUUCAUAGGCGCCAUCGUCGUAAGCUCCGACACGAUAGCGGCUGGCGCUUUGUUCAGCCGCAAGAGCUUCAUCUUUCACCUCACCUCCCCCUCCUGCUUACAAUACCACUCACAUGCACACACACACACACACCCAAUUCAAUUCCUCACCAGCUGACAAUGUUGCCCAGAAUCCCAUCUUCGCACUCAAACCGAAGUUCAAUCCCACGAUUUGAUCGAUGAUCGCCAAGUUGCAUCCCAACACCCAAAUAAAAUCCGAAAUCCAACCUAAAUCAGAAACCAGCCCAGACAAACCACAAAUCCGAAAUAGCAACUAAGGCCUGCCAUCAACAACAGGGCCGCUAAAAUCCACCCCCCAUUAGCGUGUUACACCAUUAUUCAGCAUGCACUCACCGGCUGGGAGACUGAAAUUUUAGUGCGAGGCGCUAGUGCAGGCUAGAAUUCAACCCUCAUUAAGUCCAGAGAUCGAAGGGAAAAGUGAGGAAAUGGGAGAAAAGACCGUCUGCUUGGAAACAGAGGCUAAAUUCGGAUGGAGGUGGCAUAAGGCCCUUAAACCCUAAAACAUUGGUGGGGGAAGUCGAGUUGAUAAGAAGAUAAUGUCGACGGAUGGACUUGGACGAACGAACAAAUGAACGAACGAUAAAGUCCCAGGAGGGCAGCGGUCGUCGGACGACGUCAAUAAAACGGGGCUACUCCGUCGGCGUUUUUUCGUGAAUCCUCAGUUAGAACGUGUGGCUGAGAAUGCGUCCCUUGGGAAGGGGGUGACAUCAAGGAUAGAACCACCUUGCUCCACUAAUGAAGGGUAAAAUUCGUGCCCACAAUGCAUGGCUUCAAGGAUUCUACGUGAAUACUUAGUAGGAGAAAAUAGCAAUUCCAGUGUAAUGGAUUAUCAAAGUCUAGAAAUAAUACAUAUAAUUAUUUGAUUGGCAUGGUCUGUUUCAUCUACAUAGAAGUAAUAAAAAAUAAAUAAAAAUAAAAAUAAAAAUAAAAACUUGUGUAGAUAAGUUUUCACAAAUUUUGUGCUACUUUGUUUGAUUUUUUUCUUUUUUCUUUUUUGUGAUAUGUAUAGAUUAUAUCUAUCACUUGAUAGAAUUAAAAUUGUCCUCCAGUUUCUUUCUACGUCUUUUUGUUUAUAUUAUAUCACUUUUUAUUACAGUUUGUAAAUGCAAGAGAGGUAGUACAAAGAUAAUAUAUAGGCAAUACUUGAAACAUCACACAACCCAUAGUUUUAUGUAUUUACUUUCAAUUUUUCUCAACUAUUUCUUAGUCACACACCUCAAUCACCAAAAUAAUUCUAAUAGCUAUAACGUUCAUGUUUUAAUAAUCUGCAUUUGCUUUAUUUUAUUUUAUUUUGCAUAUAUCAAAUUUAUGUUCAAGGGGUGACACAAUUUAAGAUAUUUAGACUUUAAUUAACAAGGAAAAAUUACAUAUUAAUGUUGGAGGUUGAGUUAGUAACGUUAAGGUUAGUUGAAAAACCUUUAGUUUGCAAGGUGUCAAAGAUAUACUUAAGGUUUUUAACUUGCAAAGUCUCAUCUGCGUACAAUAACGGCAAGUCCAUUUUUCUAGCUGAAAUUAUACUUUAGCGAGCCAGGCAUCAAGGUCCAGCUUAAUGUACCACACGAAAGUAAAUAAAAAUAAAAAACAAAACAAAACAAACAAACAAAUUACAAAAAAUAUCAAGAAAACGAGUCGAGGAGGCCUCCGAAUCGCACAUACUUGAGAUGUGUGGUUUUUAUGAACACAUAUGAAGUAACAGGAAUACCUCCUUCACAAUACCAAACAAGGACCAAGUGCUACUUCUUUACAAGCAGGUCUAUGGAACAAUGUCUAUAGCUGCGAUUGGAAGCAGCACGUCUCGAGUUUCCAACUCUCGCGUAGGUAUCCCUGGAGAAAUGUGCCAAAAACCCAGAGCACUUCAAAAAUUCGCUGAGCUGUGGAUAACUCUGGACACAAGCAAACCACAUGACUUGACAAUACAAAAAUUCUUUGCAUCUUCCAGUGGAAAAAACAUUUCCGACAUAAAUUAAGAAGAAAUAACUGAUAAGCCCCUUACAAGUCCUAAAUGAACAUAUUAAGCACAACACGUGCUAAAUUCUUAAGAUUCCACAAGCGUUCCUCAAACGAAAAACAUUUAUCUACACUACGCGGCAUCUCAUAGUCCUGUGCAUACAACAAGGAAGCACUUAAAAGUACGAGAGGCAGACAUGUGAAAGCAUAUCUUUGCGGAAAGGAUUUUGACCGACCUCAUGGCGUCUGCCAAAGUCUAGUUGUGUGAGUGGUGAGGCCGGGAUGGAGGUGGCGGUGGAUUGCCAUGUGAUGCGUUAGCUGGUCCAUGACUUGCUGGUCCAGCAGGAGCCGAAUGUUCAGGGCCUGAGUCCCCGCCACCAAAUAGCCAUGGUAGACACAUGCUUCCCACUUACCUGCUCAUCAACAACCAACUCGUGUCUUCAAAGGAGCUAAUGAAAUUAAGCCUCAGGAAACUCACGGGUGCAAUAGGACACAUAUUUGUGCCCUCAAGGGCUGAACAGAAAAGAUUCGACGACAAUCAUAACCGGCUAACAUUGAAUUACAACUACGACCCUACCGUGAUCACGGCUCCGGCGCGAUAUCUUGGCCAGUCAGCUUGACGACUUCAUUUUCUCACAACGAGAUGUUAACAUGAUUGAUAGUAAAAGAUUUGCAACGAUUUUUCCUACCUAUGAUGGUCAGGAACGCAAAGAAUCUAACUCUAUACCUUACAACCAGUAACCGAGACGACCUUUCACGGCUAUGUUGCACUUUGCUUCAGCAAUACCACCAACCCUCGCGACAAUCUGAGACAAACCUCACAAAACUGCACAAAGUCACAAUACUAGAUCGAAUUGGGGAUACUGAUGACAGAAAGAGCCACUAUUAACCCUAAGCUCCAAUCUCUCAUCACUUUCUAAAACACAAAGUUCGAAUGAUUUCCACGACAUUCAAUCGACCAAAGACAUACUUUCAAAAUUGUUCACCAGGAAAUUGCACCAGAGAUCUCACGCAGACGCAAUACAGAGCCGUGAUAGAAAACAGGAGCUAGAAAUUUGAGUAACAUACUUGAUUAAUACAACCCUGUUAAGAUUAAAGCUCGCCACUGCUUCACUUGCUAACUUCCGAUCCAAUUCACAACGGGCUACACCGCAAGAACAAUCUCACCACUGAUUCAACAAAGGGCGUGUUGAGUCCCCUCCCCCUCAUCUGCUGAAUCCCAAUGCACCCAAGAGGCUGACACGUUGAUCCCCACGUGGUUGGAAGCAAUGAGACAAGGCCGCGAGAGAGACGACGAAGGAAAGAAAACUGCGGAAAGAAGCCGUGCCGCAAAGAAAUGGAAAGGAAAGUAAAGGAGGAGGGAGUGGCUAUGGCAAGGUAAAUAUUACAGCGACUCUUCAAUGAGCAGUUUGGUCGAGGAUUGGACUCUUUACUGUUGCAGGCUUUCUUUGUUGUUAGGAAAAGGCAGGCGCUGUGUUGGGUGCGCUCUAAUGACU